Molecule: long non-coding RNA, 5182 nt
Organism: Wyeomyia smithii (pitcher-plant mosquito)
Lineage: Eukaryota; Metazoa; Arthropoda; Insecta; Diptera; Culicidae
Exons: 4
Source: RefSeq, a predicted model, not a curated record
AGACGUGGACAUCCCUAACACCACAUCGCAGUUAAAGCUCUCUGGUGACAGUGAUAGCUGUCAUCCAGUUUGACGCAAGUUAACUCGCGAUCAUAGUCACUUCCUUUCUAACCGCGAAAAUGUAGCACGCCUAUUCAUUGUACCUCGUUAUUAAAUAAAUAGUUUUAAUCUGUUUUAAGCACGGUUCGUGUUUUAUUUAUCGGUUACCUCGCCUACCACGAAUCGUAACAGUGGCGACGAGUAGUUAAACGCGGAAUUAUAUUAUUCUUUGCAAUUCCGUCAAUCACGUGUAUCAGAAGACGGGGUUCAGCUGAACAUAACCCCAAAGGAAGCAGCCGACACCGGGAGACAAUCAGUUCCAACGGUUUUUGCAAGCAGCAGCAGACCAACAGUAUCCCGGAAUGCAGCAGAAUAAUUUGCACAACACUCCGAAUCCAGCCAGUCAGCCCGCUCCGGAUAAUGCAUACGCCCAGUUCUUCCAGCAAUUAGUGCAGCAGCAGCAACUCUUUAUGCAGCAGCAACAGCAGCAGCAACAGCAGCAGCUAAUGCACCAGCAGCAGCUAAUGCACCAGCAGCAGGAUUUCUUUCGGAACAUUAUGUCGUCUAUUCAUGUUCAGGUUCCACCAAACCCUGAAAUGAUUCUCGACUCGCUAGCGAAUAACAUCAAGGAAUUUCGCUACAGUCCGGAAGACAACAUCACCUUCGCUGCCUGGUAUGCUCGGUAUGAUGAUCUUUUCGAAAAAGAUGCAGCGCGAUUAGACGAGGAAGCAAAAGUUCGCUUGCUAAUGCGAAAAAUGGGAACGGCAGAACAUGAACGUUACAUCAGUUUCAUUUUUGCCUAAAGCUCCGAAGGACUUUCCAUUCGCAACAACAGUCGCAAAAUUGAAAUCGCUUUUCGGUGCGGCUGAAUCUAUCAUCAGUAAACGCUAUCGCUGCCUGAAGGUAUCAAAACAACCUUCCGAAGACUACGUCACAUAUGCAUGUCGGAUAAACAAAACCUGCGUUGAAUUCGAGCUCAGCAAACUCACCGAGGAGCAGUUCAAGUGUCUUAUGUUUGUUUGCGGACUAAAAUCAGAGGGAGAUAGUGAGGUACGUACACGACUGCUUCCCAAAAUUGAGGAGCGCAGCGAUGGCACCUUGGAACAUCUUUCGGAAGACUGCCAAUGUUUAUUGUGUUUAAAACGGGACACAGCAAUGAUAGAAUCUGUACCAUCAUCAUCAGUGCAGUAUAUCAACCGUAAGCAGCAGUUUCCAAAUCGCUCGUCGAGACUCCCAGCAGGAAACAAUACGAACAAAAAUAAAAAUCUACCAGCUACACCUUGUUGGUGUUGUGGUGAAAUGCACUUCGUCAGAGAUUGUCUCCACAAACAACACAAGUGCAAUGAUUGUGGUACAAUUGGGCACCGCGAAGGUUAUUGUUCAAGUGCGAAGCCAGGGGGAAUCUAUCUGUCAAAUAUCGUGUAACCGUGACCAGCAUAUUUGGCAACAAGGCGUCCGGUUGUUUUGGUUUUUGUCGUUUUGAUUGAAGUUAAAUUCAGUAGAAUUGUAACGUUCUUUUUUAACCAAACUCUUGAAAUCGCGGAAAACUUUUAUUCAUACUGCGUUGCGUAGUGAAAUUUGGUGGCAGCAGCCUGCAAUUAGCUGAAAAUCAUGAACUUUCCUCGCCACACAGGAAAUCUUUUAAACGUCAUGGACCAACAAACUUCAUGAACCAGAGUUGAUCUGCGAUAACGCACACAUAUAUGAAUUUUGACAGCAGUAAAUCCCCCCUGUGCGAAACGAAGUCCAAAAGCAGCGCACCAUAAAAAAAGACCAUCAGAAAACUUCAAAACAAAUACGGUAAGCUUGUCAGUGAAUGCAGUAAACAGCAAGCGAUACUACGUUCAGUCCCACCUAAAUGGUUUUUAAGUGCAGUUCCAGUUGGAUACUGGGUCCGACAUCAGCAUAGUUUCCAAACAAACGUGGGAGAAAAUCGGCAAACCGCCAACAUCGCCAGCUAAGGAAAAAGCAGCGACUGCAACAGGGGACCCUUUGCAGCUUCUUUUCAAGUUUGACUGCGACGUCUCCAUCAAUAACAAUCAUUGCCGAGGACAGUUUUACGUAGUGGAAAACCCAAUUCAUCUGCUUAGUGUUGACCUACUAGAUGCAUUCUCCCUGUGGACAGUACCGAUCAGUGCAUACUCUAACAAAGUUGUCAGCCUCGCAAACCCUCCGAACAGUGAUGUUAGUGUAAAACGUCAGUAUAGCCGUGAUAAUUAUGUGUAUGCAAAAAUCUUCGUUAACAAUCAAUUGUAAAAUUGUUGAACGUAUUGAUCAGGUGAUGUACAAUGUUUGGAUUAACGAUCGCAAGCUGAAACGAUCUCAUGUGAACCAAAUUCGUGUACGUAGCACACACACUCAGCCAGUAGCAGCUAAAACCAGCCAGUUACCACUGAGUAUCCUGCAAGACGGUUGGAAUAUUGAUAUUCUCGCUGCCGUUAAUCCAUCUGCACAGUCUACACCUGUAAGCUCAAGGUCAGCAUGUACACUCGUCGAGUCACCAAUCGUUCCUGUUUCCCCGACAUCGCCUUCGUCUUCAAACUCGUCAUUCGAAUUCAUAUCUGCAACCGAAGCCGAAUCAGCUGAUUGAUCCUCGUCGCUCUUCCCGUACACGAAGGGCCCCGCAACGGUUCAACCCUUACCAGCUGUAUUAGAGGCGAGAUGUUGGAGACGUGGACAUCCCAACACCCCAUCGCAGUUAAAGCUCUCUGGUGACAGUGAUAGCUGUCAUCCAGUUUGACGCAAGUUAACUCGCGAUCAUAGUCACUUCCUUUCUAACCGCGAAAAUGUAGCACGCAUAUUCAUUGUACCUCGUUAUUAAAUAAAUAGUUUUAAUCUGUUUUAAGUACGGUUCGUGUUUCAUUUAUCGGUUACCUCGCCUACCACGAAUCGUAACUGUGGUGGAUAUCGCGUGCGGCCGAUUGCUGAUUGAUGGCAAAAGGAGGAAAAGAGGCUCCGAAAGAGAGAAGAGAUGGUUAGAUAGAAUAUAAGGAAGUGGGAGGCAAGGAUUGUGAGAAUAAAAAUUUGUUAUUAGCCAAAUACGUGUUUACAUCGGCAUUUCAAGCAUUUCCAAAUAACCCGCGAAAAUCAAGGAUAAGCGUGCCAACCCUGAGGCAUUUUCCAGAGAGUCUCACCAACGCUCACAGUUGGGACUACUGGCAUCUUACAGCAGGAUGUUCAACAUUGACCUUGAGGGUGUAAUCUGACGAGCGGGCAUCGAAACAAGAGGCACGAUUUUCAGAAAAGAUAGUCAACUCAUAGACUUCGCAGACGACCUGGACAUUAUUACGAGAAACUCAGCGACGGCGGAGGCAAUCUAUGCCAGACUUAAAGUGGAAGCUAGAAGAGAUGGACUAGAAAUAAAUGCGUCGAAAACCAGGUAUAUGAAAGGAAGAGGCUCGAAAAAAAACCCUUCCACGGACGGUUAAUAUGGACGGCGACGAACUCGAAGUGGUAGCGGGAUCUCGCAUACUUGGGAUCUCUGGUAACCGCCGACAAUAACACAAGUAAAGACGCUUCGAUCCAGGAGCAUACGCCGCCGCACGAAACUGACGAUGUAUGUACAAAACUUUAGUUAGACUCGUAGGUCUCUAUAGACUUGAAACCGUCACGCUGCUCACGGAGGACAUACGCGCACUGGCUGUAUUUGAACUGAAAGUGUUGCGGACAAUAUUUGGUGAAGUACAAACCGAACGCGGAGAGGGGGUAGGCGUAUGAACCACAAGCUGCAGGAACUACUUGAAGAGAUUCCUAUUGUGCACCUGACGAAGGUCGGGAGGCUACGAUGGGUCGGGCAUGUCGCGAGGAUGCCAGACGACAGUGCGGUAAAAUCGGUUCUUUUCAAGGACCUCACUGGCACCAGGAAUAGAGGGGCCCAACGUGCUGUAUGGUUUGACCAGGCUGAAGCGGAUCUGCGAGUAUCGAGAGGUUUAGGAAAUUGGCGACGUGUAGCCUAGGACCGAGUAGAAUGCCACUCCGGCUCUAGGCUGCUGAAGUAAGCAUUGUUUCCUUAUGAGAAAAAAUACUGAUCAAAAAUACUGAUCAAACGAAAAUUGGCUUGAUAAGUGAUACGGAACAUCUGCUCCAACUAAUUCAAACAUAGAAUAUCGGAAUGUUCAAUUUCGUCGUGACCUCUACAACAAAUGCUUCACACUCAGGAAAAUCAAUGAGGACGAAAAAUAUUCAUAAAAUUUGUAAAAUCGUGCUGAAUUACCGUAAAACUAAAUUGGGUGAGCUCACUAAGACCUUAGACAUCUUAAAGGAAGGAAUUUUUGCGGCGAUUCGUAAGCUUGCCUGAUGAUAGUCGUCCGAGGUACCCAAAAAACGCAAUAAUCAACCGGUAAGGUACUGGAUCGAUUGAACUGAAUCAAACAGGAAGCGACCGCAAAUUGCGAAAGAAAAAAUGCUCCUUCAUCAAGACGACGCUUCCUGUUCUUAUCGCGAAUAGAAGAUAACAACGAAAUCAAAGGAAUUGCACUACAAGCUGGGUCUCCUUCCUUCUUAUUCGCCUAUUUAUACCCGAACGACUAUUUCCUGUUUUCCUAGUUAAAAAUGUGGAGUUAGAAGACCGCUACAAUAAGUGCAUUACUGUCGGAUUAGUGCAAUAAGUGGAUUAGGGGCCGUUCAAUAAUUACGGAUGGGCGAAAGGGCUCUGUUGGGAGCACUGCACUGAGCACAACGGCCGAGGAGCGCGUUCCCAGCGCCCCGUCAAUGUCAGGAAAUAUGAGACGAUAAAAAUGGUAAACAAACAACAUAGGCGAAAAAAUACAGUUUAGGAGGAAGUUAAAGCGAGAUUUAGAAAUAGAAGAAGAUUAUAAAGAGUGGAUAAAACGUGGUUGAUCGAGACAGUCGAAGAGCAUCUAGCUGACGGUGGUUGGAUUUAUUUGAUUAGGUGAGGGUGUAUUUGAUAAUUAGCUUAAGUAGUACGGAACAGGGUUAAAUAAAUAUAAUAUAUGGGUUAAAACUUACAGCUAAAUUAGGAGAUAAAAGCGACAGAAAAGUUAAAAUUAACAUUAAAGUGCAGCACAGAGCACGUGAGUAAUAAAUAAAACAUAAAAAAUACUUGUGAUUUCUAAAACCAGACUUAAACUAGGAUUAACAAUUAACCGUUGAUGCGAAAGGCGUAAAAAAGGCUAAAUCUGCA